CCACUAUACUACCGACCUACACAGGAAGAAAUCUACAGCCGCUUUCACCUCUUCGUCACUUGAGAAUUGCAUUACCCCAAGUGUUGUUUCAGGUUGGGGACAAAUAGUAGUCACUGGGGCCCAAUCUAGGCCGGUGGUUCUCGAGUCUAGUGGCACUGCGGACAAUAGAAAACGCUUUUAUUGAAGUGCGUUGAACUAAGCGCUCUUGACAAACUUUGCGAAAUAUUAGCAGCAGAACGUGGAAGUGUUUUUUUUAGGUAAGAUCAAAUACAAGUUUCACAAAGUGCAAACGAAACAUUUACCUGGCCAUUUCCUUUUUAUGUAGUAUCAUUGUGUAAACACUAACUUCAGGAGAUAAUCUAUCAGGUGUUAAAUCAUAUUUCUGUAAUCUUCUGCAAAUAGACUCUUAAAAUGA
This is a long non-coding RNA of Photinus pyralis (common eastern firefly), 415 nucleotides long. RefSeq lists it as uncharacterized. NCBI's taxonomy places the organism in Eukaryota, Metazoa, Arthropoda, Insecta, Coleoptera, Lampyridae. The transcript is spliced from 2 exons. The record is from RefSeq and is a predicted model, not a curated record.